UAGCUAGUUGGUGGGGUAAGGGCCUACCAAGGCGACGAUCGGUAGCUGGUCUGAGAGGAUGGCCAGCCACACUGGAACUGAGACACGGUCCAGACUCCUACGGGAGGCAGCAGUGGGGAAUAUUGGACAAUGGGGGCAACCCUGAUCCAGCAAUGCCGCGUGUGUGAAGAAGGCCUGAGGGUUGUAAAGCACUUUCAGUGGGGAGGAGGGUUGAUAGGUUAAGAGCUAAUUAACUGGACGUUACCCACAGAAGAAGCACCGGCUAACUCCGUGCCAGCAGCCGCGGUAAUACGGAGGGUGCGAGCGUUAAUCGGAAUUACUGGGCGUAAAGGGUGCGUAGGUGGUUGAUUAAGUUAUCUGUGAAAUUCCUGGGCUUAACCUGGGACGGUCAGAUAAUACUGGUUGACUCGAGUAUGGGAGAGGCUAGUGGAAUUUCCGGUGUAGCGGUGAAAUGCGUAGAGGUCGGAAGGAACACCAGUGGCGAAGGCGGCUACCUGGCCUAAUACUGACACUGAGGCACGAAAGCGUGGGGAGCAAACAGGAUUAGAUACCCUGGUAGUCCACGCUGUAAACGAUGUCAACUAGCUGUUGGUUAUAUGAAAAUAAUCAGUGGCGC
RNAcentral lists this ribosomal RNA (616 nucleotides) under uncultured Legionella sp. RNAcentral describes it as "bacterial SSU rRNA". It matches the Rfam family "Bacterial small subunit ribosomal RNA", at positions 242 to 849 of the family's 1533-position model. Lineage: Bacteria; Pseudomonadati; Pseudomonadota; Gammaproteobacteria; Legionellales; Legionellaceae. The record is from RNAcentral.